AGAGUUUGAUCCUGGCUCAGAUUGAACUUCUGCGGUAUGCUUAACACAUGCAAGUCGAACGGCAGCACGAGGAGAGUUUACUCUCUUCGGUGGCGAGUGGCUUACGGGUGAGUAAUGCAUAGGAAUCUACCUUUUAGUCUAGGAUAACUACCCGAAAGGGUGGCUAAUACUGGAUGUGGACUACGGUUUAAAGCAGGGGACCUUCGGGCCUUGCGCUAAGAGAUGAGCCUCUGUGGGAUUAGCUAGUUGGUGAGGUAAUGGCUCACCAAGGCGACGAUCUCUAGCUGGUUUGAGAGGAUGAUCAGCCACACUGGGACUGAGACACGGCCCAGACUCCUAUGGGAGGCAGCAGUGGGGAAUAUUGGACAAUGGGCGAAAGCCUGAUCCAGCAAUACCGCGUGUGUGAAGAAGGCCCUAGGGUUGUAAAGCACUUUUGUUAGGGAGAACGGGUAUUGUGGUUAAUAACCACAGUAUCUGAUGUUACCUAAAGAAUAAGCACCGGCUAACUCCGUGCCAGCAGCCGCGGUAAUACGGAGGGUGCAAGCGUUAAUCGGAAUUACUGGGCGUAAAGGGCGCGUAGGUGGUAUCUUAAGUUGGGUGUGAAAUCCCCGGGCUCAACCUGGGAAUUGCAUCCAAAACUGGGGUACUAGAGUGUGGUAGAGGGUAGCGGAAUUUCUGGUGUAGCGGUGAAAUGCGUAGAUAUCAGAAGGAACAUCAAUGGCGAAGGCAGCUACCUGGGCCAACACUGACGCUGAGGCGCGAAAGCAUGGGGAGCAAACAGGAUUAGAUACCCUGGUAGUCCAUGCUAUAAACG
This 814-nucleotide ribosomal RNA is filed under the name uncultured bacterium. RNAcentral describes it as "bacterial SSU rRNA". It matches the Rfam family "Bacterial small subunit ribosomal RNA", at positions 8 to 808 of the family's 1533-position model. The record is from RNAcentral.